AGACUGGGAUAACUUCGGGAAACCGGAGCUAAUACCGGAUAAUAUUUUGAACCGCAUGGUUCAAAAGUGAAAGACGGUCUUGCUGUCACUUAUAGAUGGAUCCGCGCUGCAUUAGCUAGUUGGUAAGGUAACGGCUUACCAAGGCAACGAUGCAUAGCCGACCUGAGAGGGUGAUCGGCCACACUGGAACUGAGACACGGUCCAGACUCCUACGGGAGGCAGCAGUAGGGAAUCUUCCGCAAUGGGCGAAAGCCUGACGGAGCAACGCCGCGUGAGUGAUGAAGGUCUUCGGAUCGUAAAACUCUGUUAUUAGGGAAGAACAUAUGUGUAAGUAACUGUGCACAUCUUGACGGUACCUAAUCAGAAAGCCACGGCUAACUACGUGCCAGCAGCCGCGGUAAUACGUAGGUGGCAAGCGUUAUCCGGAAUUAUUGGGCGUAAAGCGCGCGUAGGCGGUUUUUUAAGUCUGAUGUGAAAGCCCACGGCUCAACCGUGGAGGGUCAUUGGAAACUGGAAAACUUGAGUGCAGAAGAGGAAAGUGGAAUUCCAUGUGUAGCGGUGAAAUGCGCAGAGAUAUGGAGGAACACCAGUGGCGAAGGCGACUUUCUGGUCUGUAACUGACGCUGAUGUGCGAAAGCGUGGGGAUCAAACAGGAUUAGAUACCCUGGUAGUCCACGCCGUAAACGAUGAGUGCUAAGUGUUAGGGGGUUUCCGCCCCUUAGUGCUGCAGCUAACGCAUUAAGCACUCCGCCUGGGGAGUACGACCGCAAGGUUGAAACUCAAAGGAAUUGACGGGGACCCGCACAAGCGGUGGAGCAUGUGGUUUAAUUCGAAGCAACGCGAAGAACCUUACCAAAUCUUGACAUCCUUUGACAACUCUAGAGAUAGAGCCUUCCCCUUCGGGGGACAAAGUGACAGGUGGUGCAUGGUUGUCGUCAGCUCGUGUCGUGAGAUGUUGGGUUAAGUCCCGCAACGAGCGCAACCCUUAAGCUUAGUUGCCAUCAUUAAGUUGGGCACUCUAAGUUGACUGCCGGUGACAAACCGGAGGAAGGUGGGGAUGACGUCAAAUCAUCAUGCCCCUUAUGAUUUGGGCUACACACGUGCUACAAUGGACAAUACAAAGGGCAGCGAAACCGCGAGGUCAAGCAAAUCCCAUAAAGUUGUUCUCAGUUCGGAUUGUAGUCUGCAACUCGACUACAUGAAGCUGGAAUCGCUAGUAAUCGUAGAUCAGCAUGCUACGGUGAAUACGUUCCCGGGUCUUGUACACACCGCCCGUCACACCACGAGAGUUUGUAACACCCGAAGCCGGUGGAGUAACCUUUUAGGAGCUAGCCGUCGAAGGUGGGACAAAUGAUUGGGGUGAAGUCGUAACAAGGUAGCCGUAUCGGAAGGUGCGGCUG
RNAcentral lists this ribosomal RNA (1400 nucleotides) under Staphylococcus aureus. RNAcentral's name for it is "bacterial SSU rRNA". It matches the Rfam family "Bacterial small subunit ribosomal RNA". Lineage: Bacteria; Bacillati; Bacillota; Bacilli; Caryophanales; Staphylococcaceae. The record is from RNAcentral.